This 516-nucleotide ribosomal RNA is filed under the name Sticta andensis. RNAcentral's name for it is "eukaryotic LSU rRNA". It matches the Rfam family "Eukaryotic large subunit ribosomal RNA", at positions 91 to 610 of the family's 3401-position model. The record is from RNAcentral. Lineage: Eukaryota; Fungi; Ascomycota; Lecanoromycetes; Peltigerales; Lobariaceae.
GAGUGAAGCGGCAACAGCUCAAAUUUGAAAUCUGGCCCCCUCGGGGUCCGAGUUGUAAUUUGUAGAGGGUGUUUCGGGCGCGAUGUCGGUCUAAGUUCCUUGGAACAGGACGUCGUAGAGGGUGAGAAUCCCGUAUGCGACCGGCGAUCAAGCCCGUGCGAAGCCCCUUCGACGAGUCGAGUUGUUUGGGAAUGCAGCUCAAAAUGGGUGGUAAAUUUCAUCUAAAGCUAAAUAUUGGCCAGAGACCGAUAGCGGACAAGUAGAGUGAUCGAAAGAUGAAAAGCACUUUGGAAAGAGAGUCAAACAGUACGUGAAAUUGUUGAAAGGGAAGCGCUUGCAAUCAGACCGGUCCGGAGGCGAUCAGCCGCUGCUCGUCAGCGGUGCACUCGCCUGCGAUCCGGCCAGCAUCGGUUUGGGCGGCGGGAUAAAAGUCCCGGGAAUGUAGCUUCCUCCGUGAGUCUUAUAGCCCGGGUCGCAAUGCCGCCCGCCCGGACCGAGGACCGCGCUCGGCUAGGA